This 256-nucleotide ribosomal RNA is filed under the name uncultured bacterium. Its description in RNAcentral is "partial 16S ribosomal RNA". It matches the Rfam family "Bacterial small subunit ribosomal RNA", at positions 524 to 777 of the family's 1533-position model. The record is from RNAcentral.
UACGGAGGGUGCGAGCGUUGUCCGGAAUCAUUGGGCGUAAAGGGCGCGUAGGUGGCGGGACAAGCGUGCGGUGAAAGCCUGGGGCUCAACCCUGCGUCGGCCAUGAAUACUGCCGCGGCUGGAGCACUGUAGAGGCAGGCGGAAUUCCGGGUGUAGCGGUGGAAUGCGUAGAGAUCCGGAAGAACACCGGUGGCGAAGGCGGCCUGCUGGGCAGUUGCUGGACACUGAGGCGCGACAGCGUGGGGAGCAAACAGGG